AUUUGGCCUGCUCUAUGAUUAUAAUUAAAUGGCUGCAGUAUUUUGACUGUACAAAGGUAGCAUAAUCAUUUGUCUUUUAAUUGGGGACUGGAAUGAAUGGUUGGAUGAAAAAUAUACUUUCUUUAUUUUUUUUGAAAAAUUUAAUUUUUAGGUUAAAAAGCUUAAAUAAAUUUAUGGGACGAGAAGACCCUGUAGAACUUUAUUAUAAAUAUUUAUUUAUAUUUUAGAUUGGUAUAAAUUAUAAAUAAUAUAUUUAUAAUUUUAUUGGGGUGAUAGAAAUAAUUUAAUAACUUUUUUUAAUAUGAUCAUUAAUAUAUGAGUUUUUUAUCCYUAUUUAGGGAAUUAAGAUUAAGUUACCUUAGGGAUAACAGCGUUAUUAUUUUGGAGAGUUCUUAUCGAUAAAAUAGAUUGCGACCUCGAUGUUGGAUUAAAAUAAGUGAUAGGGGUAGUACUUUAUUUACUA
RNAcentral lists this ribosomal RNA (463 nucleotides) under Vannius sp. UNSW ENT 00046067. RNAcentral describes it as "partial 16S ribosomal RNA". The record is from RNAcentral. Lineage: Eukaryota; Metazoa; Arthropoda; Insecta; Hemiptera; Miridae.